GGUUGUUUGUGCCCUCCAAGAGUCUGUUCCUCAGUCCUCUUGUUAUUUUAAAUAAUGGCAACUCACUGGAUCCAUGGUUUUGGUUUUGCUCUCCUUGCUGUUCUGCCUGAGACCCGAGUUUGAGAAUAUUGCUUCCAAAACAGCCACGAUUUUUGGAUUUCCCUAGUGGUCCAGUGGUUUAGAAUCUGCCUGCCCAUGCAGGGGACACAGGUUUGAUCCCUGGUUAGGAAACAUUCCACAGGCUUCAGAGCAACUAAGCUGGUGAGCCACAGCUACUGAAGCCUGCCUGGCCUAGAGCCUGCUUGCUGUCAACGAAACCAUCCGCAGUGAGAAGCCCCUGCGCCACAACAGAGAGCCUGGCUCCCUGCAACCAGAGAAAGCCCUCAGGUAGCAAGGAAGACCAAGCACAGACAAAAAUAAAAAUAAAUUUUUUUAAAUGUAUUUUUAAAGAGUGAAGAUUUUUAUCUUGCUUCUUCCCGUGCCGUUUCCUCACUGUCGAGUCUGGUGCCUGGCACACCAGGUCGGCACUCCAGAAUUACUUGAUGAAUGAGUGAAUUACUUGAUGAAUGAGUGAAUGACUUGGGCUAACGCUACCUUAAAGCAUAUUGUGAAAGAUAAAACGAAUGAGCAAAACAUAAAUUCUGAUUAGGCGGUUGUUGAACUGGACCUGUGUAACAUGCUCUGCCAAACUUUUCCUUCCGCAUCUCCGUUUGCUUUGCAUCCCUGCCAAAAAAUAACAUUGGUCCCUGCUGUGGAGCCAGGAUGAGGCAACCCCCCCGCAGGGCAGCGGCCAGGAAGGACUCCUGCGAAAGGCGGCCGCGUUGGUCACCCAGCCUCCAGCCUCCGGUCCGAAAUGCAGAGAGCCUGAAACAAUGCGCAGAGUAGCCGGGCUGAGAACAAGGGACAGCUCUGUCCCUCUCUCGCUGGCGUUUAUGGAAGGAAGCCUGGCUGUCUGUUUUUAAGUAAACAGACUUGCUUUAAUGGAGCAAUCUGUCAAAAUAAGCCGAGCUGCUAGGGCGUGGGGGAGUGGGGGGAGGGUGCCGCACCGCUUCCGUCUCCCGUGGGAGCUGUUUAUUUGAGGAUGACAAAUGCGAGCGAGGCAGAAGCCUGCGGUAAUGACACUCAAAGCAAGAAAAAUAAUAGCGUGUGGCUUAGGAUGGGCUCAUCUUCACUCGAUGUAUAUAUGGCUUUUGUGUGUUUAAAGAACCAGCCCCUUCUAUUUGCAUCUCAAACACCCCCGCCCAGGAGCAGAAGAGCGCAGGAGCUUUACAGGCAGCUUCUGGUCCCUGGGUUUUGCAGGAACGGGGGAGGUAACCAAGAACAGAUGAAUGAGCCAAAGUUUAGUCUCUACAGGCUUUCUCCCUCUUCUACUAAUGGAGGUGUGACAAAAGCACUAAUUUGCUUCAUCACCACGCAGUGCUUAAUAAAUCACAUGUUUGCAUCGUGAGAUGCAUGGGGUGGGACACGGUGCAGAGAAGUGUGGAGAGCAGAAAUUACCAAAUACCCGCAUGAAGACUCACAUUUUGGACUUUACUCAGAAUAUUCGCUGCUUGUGAAACAACACAAUGAAAGGGCCAGGUGUAGUUUAACCCUUUUAGUUUGUGCCAGGACCUUGAAUUCUUUGCAAAGAAGAAAAGGAUUUAAUGUAAACUGCAAACGCUUUAAUCAAGUGGCUUUCUUCGCAUACCGUGAAAGCAUUUUGAAACAUUCAAGUAGGAAAAAAAAAAGUCCUUAUUUUCUGAAAAUAUAACCUCUUAAACACCCAGGACGCUGCCAAACCAAGUCCCAUCAAGUAACAAGGCACAAUAAGAAGCUUAAAAAAGGUAAGGAUUAAGUUACAUUUGUAUGAAUAAGCUCAUUUUUGUUGUUCUGGUCUCAAUCUUUAAAUGAUCCUAUCUCCUGCACGUAAGGUGUCUCCUUGUUAAAUUAUACAUUACUAUUCUCAGUGUGGGUCCCAGUGAGACCCAACAUGUCCCCAGGGCUCACCAACCUUUGGUAAGAACCACAUCAAUAGCAAUCACUCAGAGUUCACUUGCCCAUUGUCCGCACCUGCAGGGACAGCCCCUCACCCCAACCAGGUGCUCCUGAGAUGCCCUGGGCUCCUCUCUCUUGGAGAUGGGAAGUCUGUACCUGUUCCCUCCACAUGAGCACAGAUUCUGCCCCACUACUGGCACUUUCUGAGAGGAUGGUGUUCUUGUCCCAGGACUAUCCGCAGGCUCCCAAAUCUGCAAAACACACCAGCUGC
Molecule: long non-coding RNA, 2245 nt
Organism: Odocoileus virginianus texanus
Lineage: Eukaryota; Metazoa; Chordata; Mammalia; Artiodactyla; Cervidae
Source: RefSeq, a predicted model, not a curated record